This is a non-coding RNA of Myotis davidii, 75 nucleotides long. Lineage: Eukaryota; Metazoa; Chordata; Mammalia; Chiroptera; Vespertilionidae. The record is from Rfam.
CACGGGGGGAGGGGAGUCCCUCAGCCCAGAUUGCUAGAGGGUGCAGGCCAGGCCAAAGGACCCCACCAGUGCAUG